AACGAACGCUGGCGGCGCGCCUAAUACAUGCAAGUCGAGCGAGAAGACGUAGCAAUACGUUUGUAAAGCGGCGAACGGGUGAGGAAUACAUGGGUAACCUACCCUCGAGUGGGGAAGUAACUAGCCGAAAGGUUAGCUAAUACCGCGUACGCUCCUUGGACUUCGGUUCAGGGAGGAAAGCGAUACCGUGGGUAUCGCGCUCUUGGAUGGGCUCAUGUCCUAUCAGCUUGUUGGUGAGGUAACGGCUCACCAAGGCUUCGACGGGUAGCUGGUCUGAGAGGACGAUCAGCCACACUGGCACUGCGACACGGGCCAGACUCCUACGGGAGGCAGCAGUAAGGAAUAUUGCGCAAUGGGCGAAAGCCUGACGCAGCGACGCCGCGUGGGGGGA
RNAcentral lists this ribosomal RNA (391 nucleotides) under uncultured bacterium. RNAcentral's name for it is "bacterial SSU rRNA". It matches the Rfam family "Bacterial small subunit ribosomal RNA", at positions 29 to 409 of the family's 1533-position model. The record is from RNAcentral.